RNAcentral lists this long non-coding RNA (564 nucleotides) under Ficedula albicollis (Collared flycatcher). RNAcentral describes it as "lncRNA (ENSFALG00000027403.1)". Lineage: Eukaryota; Metazoa; Chordata; Aves; Passeriformes; Muscicapidae. The record is from RNAcentral.
AUUUUUCUGUGUAGACCAUUAACACACUUACAGAUGACUCCGCACUUGCUUGUCCUGAUGUUGGCCCAGGGAAAAUAUGGGUAGAAGUUCCUCCAUGAGAUCCCUGACUUUCAUUCUCUUCAAAACAAGAAUUAAGAUACACAUGUUGGAAGAAUAUUACUGAAGUCACCCAAAGUGUAAGUAUUCAAAAAACAAUGAGCUUUUAAGACGGCAUUAGAAAGCACCAUUUUUACCCCAGACACGGAACAGGUGCAGUAAAAUAAACCUGUGCCAAAGCAUUCUGUUAACUUUUGCUAGUGGAGGCAGUGGGCUCAUUGUGACAGCUGAUAUUCUCUUCACUUCCUGAAGACUUGAAGCUGUAAGAAUAGGCUAGCACCUGGGAAAAUUGUGCUGGCUUAAUGGCCUAGAAUGCAGGCUGAUUUUCCUAUGAUUUGGAGAACUGCUUUUAACUCAAUUAUGUUAAGCACCAGGUCAAUUCCUUCCCCUUCUUAACACUUGAAGUGAAUAACCUCUCAAGACAAAUGCUUAAUUUUCUAAAUAUGAAGUCCUUUGGCAUAUAAGCUG